Molecule: ribosomal RNA, 116 nt
Filed under: Trichophyton tonsurans CBS 112818
Lineage: Eukaryota; Fungi; Ascomycota; Eurotiomycetes; Onygenales; Arthrodermataceae
Source: RNAcentral
ACGACCACAGGAAGUGGAAAACAGAGCUUCCCGUCCGCUCAGCUGUACUUAAGCCACUUGCCGGUCGGUUAGUAGUUGGGUGGCUGACCACCAGCGCAUCCCGACUGUUGUUGGUC